This is an RNA transcript of Xiphophorus couchianus (Monterrey platyfish), 6526 nucleotides long. It is a transcript of the gene named erythrocyte membrane protein band 4.1a, with no coding region annotated. Lineage: Eukaryota; Metazoa; Chordata; Actinopteri; Cyprinodontiformes; Poeciliidae. The record is from RefSeq and is a predicted model, not a curated record. The transcript has 19 exons.
UCAGACAACACUGAGGGAAAAUUGAAUACAUACAUACACGGGACGCGCCUGAUACCCAAACGCUUUGUUAAAGCCGCUCGUUUUCUGCCAUUGCAGUAUUAACUCUUCAUCUCUACUGUCUGGUGCUGAAAAGGACUUUAAGGGGUGAAGAUCCGAUUUUUAUUAUUUUUUAUUUUUUUGCAUUCUACUGGAUGAUCCUAACAAAGACGCUGUUGCCAUGACCACAGAUGAAGUGGAAAGUCACCAGAAAAAGCCAAAGCAGCAGCAGGAAGAAGCUGGCCAAGAUUCUCAGCUGCAUUGUCAUGAGGAUGGCAACCUCCAGCCUCAAAAUCAAAAUUCUACCAGCCGUGGUCUCUCUCGCCUCUUCUCUUCCCUCCUUAAACGGCGUUCACAGUAUGACAGUGAAGGAGGACAGAGAGAGGAUGAGGAAGAUGAAGCUAAAGCUCCUAUUGCUGAUCCUGAACCUGAAUUGAAAAUAGAGGGAGAGGUUGCCUUGGACCAACAUUCAGUCAGCAGUGCAGAGGUUCAGGCUCCUCAGGCUGAAAAGAAAGAUGCAACUGAGGACAUGAUUGGAAAGGUGGAGGAGAAGAAUGACCAAAAGGGAGAGGCAGUGGUUCUGGACAAGGAGGAGGACAAAGAGAAGGAAUUUGGUUCUGAAAGAAGGGGCAAGGAAGAUAAAGCGAAGACAACAGAGGAGGAGGCCAAGACACCCAGAGCUCCACGUCGACCAAAGGCACUGCAGAUCAAAGUCACACUGCUGGAUGACGCUCUGUUUGAGUGCGAGUUGGAUAAACAUGCCAAAGGCCAGGAGCUGUUCAUGAAAGUAUGUGAUCACCUUAACCUUCUGGAAAAAGACUAUUAUGGCCUGGCCAUCUGGGAGACCCCCACUAUGAAGACUUGGAUGGAUUUGACCAAAGAGAUUCGUAGGCAGGUGCAAGGGGCCAAUUAUAAUUUCACUUUUAAUGUGAAAUUUUACCCACCGGAUCCAGCCCAGUUGUCAGAGGACAUAACAAGGUACUACCUGUGUCUGCAGCUGCGGAAGGAUAUCCUACAGGGCCGCCUUCCUUGCUCAUUUGUUACCCUGGCUCUGCUAGGUUCUUAUGCCUUGCAGUCAGAGCUGGGUGAGUACGACCCUGAGGUGCAUGGCAAUGAUUAUGCUAAGGAGAUGAAAAUGGCCUCAGGUCAGACAAAAGAGCUGGAGGACAAAAUGAUGGAGCUGCAUCGUACAUAUAGGAUAAUGUGUCCAGCUCAGGCAGACCUGAUGUUUUUGGAGAAUGCCAAAAAACUCUCUAUGUAUGGGGUGGACCUUCACCAGGCUAAGGACCUGGAUGGUGUUGACAUCAUGCUGGGAGUUUGCUCAAGUGGCCUCAUGGUUUACAAAGACAAACUGAGAAUCAACCGUUUCCCAUGGCCCAAAGUCCUUAAGGUGUCCUACAAGCACAGCAGCUUCUUUAUCAAAAUACGACCAUCGGAGACAGAACAGUAUGAGAGUGCAAUUGGUUUCAAACUUCCCAAUUACAAGGCCGCCAAGAAGCUGUGGAAAGUAUGUGUUGAACAUCAUACCUUCUUUAGGUUAACUUCCACUGAGAUGGCCACCACCCCGAGAAAGUUCCUGGCACUAGGCUCCAAAUUUCGUUACAGUGGACGGACUCAGGCUCAGACCAGGCAGGCCAGCUCUCUGAUUGACAGACCAGCUCCCAUGUUCCAGCGCUCUUCCAGCAAGAGGAACUCGCGCAGUCUGGAUGGAGCAAUGGCCACUACACCAGACAACAAAUCUAAUCGUCCAGUCAGUGCCCCUGUUAUGUCACCAGUAUCUCCAGGUGAGGCAAAGCCAUCACCACUGCUACCCACACUGCCUCGCCAUAGCCAUUUUGAUGGCUCUACACCCAAAAGUCAACACCAUACAGAUUGGAAGAGAGAGCUAAAGACAGAAUGUAAGCCAGAGCACACCAAGAGUCAUAGCCCAAAGCCACAGUCUGCUUCAGAGAUAAAGACUGUUGCCAAGAGAGAGCGAAGGAACUCCUCAUCCAUGACCAAUAGGGCAAAAGAAAAAAAGAGCCAGCUCUCCGUUCAGGAUAAAAAGAUGGAAAUGGUUCGAGUAAGGAAGAAGAGACCCAAGAGACUUGAGGGAGAAACUAUUUAUAUCAGACAUAGCAAUUUAAUGUUGGAGGACCUUGAUAAGACCCAAACUGAGAUCAUGCGUCACCACACUAGUAUCAGUGAGCUCAAGAGAAGUUUUAUGGAGUCAGUACCAGAACCUCGACCCAGUGAGUGGGACAAACGCCUAUCUACCAACUCGCCACUCCGCUCAGUGAGCCUCAAUGGCCAGCUGCAACCAGUGUCUCCAGUUCUAAGGGCCCAAACGGUCACCAUCUCAGAUGUUACCAACUCUCUAAGAGGAACUGUGACUUACAAGGACAUUCCUUUAGUUCACACUGAGACAAAGACCAUCACAUAUGAGUCAGCACAGGAAAAAGUGGAGGUAGAUUACCUAGAUAAUAAACUUCAAAUGAAGACAGAUCAGUGGAGGCAAAAAUGUGAGUUAUGUGCACACUCAACCCAUGGAAGGUACUGGAUCCAGUCAAUAGGAUUGGUAGAGGUGAGACAUCUGAGUGUAGAUUUUAAUUUUUGGCUCAUUCUUUCUGUUUGAAAGAAUUGGACCAUCCUCAUUGGACUGAGGUUGGUAACCAGAUGUGAGUGUGACUUUGGUAUCCAGAACAGAGAAAAAAUGUUUCCAGACCUGAGAAAUGAACUGUGGACAAUAUUAUAGUAUUUCUUGGUGAAUGCCGUGGAGUCAGAAAACAUGCUUGACUAUUAGCUGAGUAGUCUGAAAGGCAGUGGGUAAUUUUCUGUAGGGAAUACGAUGACAAUAUUUAGGAAAACAGUCGAUAAUUGUAAAGAUGGUAGUCAUACCUUUAGAAUGUGGAGGUACAGUGAUGAAAUCGACCAAGACAGGGGCAUUUUGGUCUGGUUAGUGGCUAGAGGAGUCCGGCUGGACGUGUAUGGGAGGGCUUUUUACGUGCACAGACAGGAGAGGCUAGAACAUACUCUAGACAGCCACCAGAAGCAAUGGUAAAUCAGAGCUUAUUCCAGGGUGUGCAGAGAACUUGGCUGAGUGAAUCCAAUGAAUGAGGCGAGCUCAGACUGAAGUGGGGAUGAAUGUUCUGUUGGGAUUUCUAGUUAGGAUUUCUGAUUUCUGGCUCCAGGAUCAGUUUCAGUGAGGUGGGCUUGUUUAAUGGCAUCUUCAAUGUCCCAUGAAACUGCACCAAUGGUGCAAUCGGGCAGAAGGAUGGAACCUGAGUCUUGUAAUUAUCAGAAGAGACAGGGCAUCCGCUUUGGUGUUCUUACAACCUGGGCAAUAGGAAAUGGAGAGAUUAAAGCGAGAGAAAAUCAGAGACCAGAGACUAAUGGAUAUAUUUUUUUAUAGUUAUCUGAUUUAAACCACUGUAAUGUAGGAAAGGACAAAGAGAACCAUUCUUUUUACCCACAAAGAAAAAACCAGCUCAUAUCUAUCCUUAUGGGGAUAAUCUGGUUCUGUCUAUCUGCAAAGUUUCUGGAUUGUUCUGAGAAAUGUGGGGAGAAAUCUUGGAAUGACUAGAUGUAACAGGUAAGGAAACAAAUCUGGAGACAUGUCGUUUGGAUUUCUCUCAGUUUUGGUCACAUAUCCAAUUAUCUAAAUGGAUUGGCAGUGAGCUCAAUCCAAGGUGCUGGGUUCAUCCAAGCGAGCUCAAUCGUCUUUUAGGGAGUCAUUGAGAAGAGCGUGAAAAAUCCACUCUUCAAUGCAGCCAAAUCCCAACCUGAGGCUGAAGCUUUAAUUCUCAACUCGAUAGCAAAGUCAGUUACGGUUUGUUGUUUUUGUCUUACUGUCCACAAUUUUCUAGAUAGGGUUGUGUGGUCAGACUCUUAACUAAAUAGUUGUUUGAAUUCCAGCAAAAAAUCCUUAAAUGAACAGCCAAAAUUUCUUCUGGUCCUGAAAACGGGGCUCUGACCAUUCUAGAGCUUUGAAUGGUGAGAAGUGAUCAUUUUUAUGAAAUAUUGGCAUCAUCAUGAGGGAAACUUUAAGGUGAUCAAUUGAAAACUAGUGAGCAUUGUAAUGGAAACCCACCGAAACAAUCUAUAUCACCUUCAUAUUUGUCUGGUGUAGGGCUAGGGUUAACUGAUGUCACGGAAGGACAAGGGGGACAGCUGGAGAACCAGAACCAUCUGAGAAACUGGCACAAAGUUGGAGGUUUCUGCUGGCUGUGGAGAAGGUUGCAGUGGUUGGAGAUUCUGUUAGAGUUGAACUGAUGUUGAUUAGGGGUAUCUUAUUGUUAGCAAAGGGAUCUUAGGAUGGCAUCGUGGGAUUGAAUGAGAGAAUUCUGUUCUGCAAGCACAAUCCUGAGGGUCUGCUGGGUCAAUCUGGCCCCAUUGUUAUCUCAUGGUUUUAGGCAAACCUUUGGCCCAUAUGCAUAACACUCUCAGGAGGCAGAUAAAAAGAUUAAUAAAGUUUAUUGAAUAACAAUAAACUUAUAAAUUAACAGUAAACAGGAAUGGGAACACUGGAACAGAGUGGGAAAGCAGUGAGUACUUCGAACAACGGGGUAGAAUGUAGAUGAGAAAUGAAUAUCUUACUCAUAAUGAUAAGUCCAUGAGGGGGAGACAGAAAGAGACUUGAAUUGAACCUAUGUGGGGGAUCUUAGGGGAUCUUAGGGAGAUCUUGUGUAGGACCAGAGGGCAGAUGCAGAAUGGUGGAGACCUUGGAGUAUGGACAGGUUAUGCAGUGCUUGAAUCAAGGAAGAGGAGUGGAACAUUGCCAGUCGUGGCACAUGAACCACACGUUUUUCUCUGGAGUCUUGAGAUCACGAGGAGCAACCAGAAAGACCAGAAUCCAAGAAAUCACCAGUGGAAUUUUUACAGAAGAACACAAAUAGGUAAGUCGAGGAGAUAUCAAAAGUAGCACAUGGAACACAGUAUCGUUGGGACAUCAGAGGGCUCAGAGUAUCAUGUAGGUUAACCACUCAAGUUCUGAAGCACUGGCAACUAGCUCCUAUUGUCCUUGGCCUGAUGAGCCUAGUUGAUUAGCAGGCGUGUGAGUUUACUCAGCAGGUCCAACCUCCACAGCAGCUUCCUGGCUCCCUCUGGUGGAAACAGACCCCAGCCUCCUAACAGGAAUUUGGAGCAAGGAAGAGACAUUCAACCAGGCUCAUUAAGAAAAACUGAAAAAAUGAUUGAAGGUUUUAUUAAAAUAUGGAAAUGCAUUGUGUACUCUUUUUUUUUUUUAAAAAAAUGUAUAAAAAUAAGACUUUGAAAAGUGUGAAUAAAAAAUAUUGCCAAAUUAAGGUGAAAUAGAAGGAUCUGGUUGAUACUAAGUAAAAAGCAACUUGCUUAAGGGAGCAAAGGCCUCAAGCAGAAUCUUUAGAAGGACCCUGACUUAUCCCUACGUCCCCUGAUUCUUAACUCUGCAUAAUCAAAGGUCACGUCAACAAGUUGGAGAAAGGACUACACUGAAAAUGAAUUAAAAGUUGUUCCUUUCUCUGUUUCCCCCAACAAUGGUCCUUGAUGUUUCAGGUGUGUCCUUUCGUCAGCCAAACUAAUUUCAUUAGUGAAAUUAGUUUGUCUGAUUAACCACUAGAUUAACACCCGUUAAUCUGGUGGUAGAUUAAUGGGUGUUUGCUGAACUGCAAUCAGCUGAAACAAGUGCAUUAAAGCAGGGAAAAAUAUUAAACAUGCAGGGCAGUUUGGCUUCAGGGCCAGGGUUAGGAAACACUGUCCUAAAUAAACCAUAGGUGUGUAAAAACAAAUAGUUAUAUUUUGUGUGCAAAGCUUCUCUGCAGAAAUGGUCACAAUUUGUCUUAAGUUAGCUGAUGAAAUUUAUUUUACUUGUUUUGCACAGGAUGAUUCUUGAAAAUUUUGUAUAAAUAGCUGCAUGUUAACAGUAGACACAAGUUUCAUUAAUAAAUCAGUUGAGCUACAGUCCAAAGAAAAUCACUAAACUAAAUUAAACUAACAUAUUCCAUCCAUCCAUCCAUUUUCUAACACCCUUGUCCCUAGUGGGGUAAGGAGGUGCUGGUGUCUAUCUCCAGCUAACAUUCCGGGCGAGAGACGGGGUCACCCUGGACAGGUUGCCAGUCUGUCGCAGGGCAAACUAACAUAUUAUUGUUACUAAUAAAAUACUGUUUUCAUUGAAAUCUUAGUUAAUACACAGUAAGUGAUGCCUUUAAACAAAACUAACUUUUCAAAACAACACAAGAAUACAGUGUAAGAAUAAGAAGUACUGUCUGAGACCAGCAGUCAAAUUGUAGACACAAAUGAGAUCAGUAUGAUGGUCUUGAACAGUUAAUAAUCAAUGCAUUUCUCCGACAGCCUGUGGAAACCCUAGCAGAGAAGGAUUCAGGAGUGCUGCUGAGUGCCCAGACUAUCACCUCUGAGACUAUCAGCACCACCACCACAACCCAGAUCACUAAGACGGUGAAAGGAGGAAUUUCUGAGACUCGAAUUGAGAAGAGAAUUGUCAUCACUGGAGACACAGCAAUUGAUCAUGACAAGG